Molecule: ribosomal RNA, 841 nt
Filed under: uncultured Pseudoalteromonas sp.
Lineage: Bacteria; Pseudomonadati; Pseudomonadota; Gammaproteobacteria; Alteromonadales; Pseudoalteromonadaceae
Description: bacterial SSU rRNA
Rfam family: Bacterial small subunit ribosomal RNA
Source: RNAcentral
GAUUGAACGCUGGCGGCAGGCCUAACACAUGCAAGUCGAGCGGUAACAGAAAGUAGCUUGCUACUUUGCUGACGAGCGGCGGACGGGUGAGUAAUGCUUGGGAACAUGCCUUGAGGUGGGGGACAACAGUUGGAAACGACUGCUAAUACCGCAUAAUGUCUACGGACCAAAGGGGGCUUCGGCUCUCGCCUUUAGAUUGGCCCAAGUGGGAUUAGCUAGUUGGUGAGGUAAUGGCUCACCAAGGCGACGAUCCCUAGCUGGUUUGAGAGGAUGAUCAGCCACACUGGGACUGAGACACGGCCCAGACUCCUACGGGAGGCAGCAGUGGGGAAUAUUGCACAAUGGGCGCAAGCCUGAUGCAGCCAUGCCGCGUGUGUGAAGAAGGCCUUCGGGUUGUAAAGCACUUUCAGUCAGGAGGAAAGCGUGGUGGUUAAUACCCAUCAUGUGUGACGUUACUGACAGAAGAAGCACCGGCUAACUCCGUGCCAGCAGCCGCGGUAAUACGGAGGGUGCGAGCGUUAAUCGGAAUUACUGGGCGUAAAGCGUACGCAGGCGGUUUGUUAAGCGAGAUGUGAAAGCCCCGGGCUCAACCUGGGAACUGCAUUUCGAACUGGCAAACUAGAGUGUGAUAGAGGGUGGUAGAAUUUCAGGUGUAGCGGUGAAAUGCGUAGAGAUCUGAAGGAAUACCGAUGGCGAAGGCAGCCACCUGGGUCAACACUGACGCUCAUGUACGAAAGCGUGGGGAGCAAACGGGAUUAGAUACCCCGGUAGUCCACGCCGUAAACGAUGUCUACUAGAAGCUCGGAGCCUCGGUUCUGUUUUUCAAAGCUAACGCAUUAAG